GUGAGGAAUAUUGGACAAUGGGUGAGAGCCUGAUCCAGCCAUCCCGCGUGAAGGACUAAGGACCUAUGGUUUGUAAACUUCUUUUAUACAGGGAUAAACCUACUCUCGUGAGGGUAGCUGAAGGUACUGUAUGAAUAAGCACCGGCUAACUCCGUGCCAGCAGCCGCGGUAAUACGGAGGGUGCAAGCGUUAUCCGGAUUUAUUGGGUUUAAAGGGUCCGUAGGCGGGUCGAUAAGUCAGUGGUGAAAGCCUGCAGCUUAACUGUAGAACUGCCGUUGAUACUGUCGGUCUUGAGUGUAUUUGAGGUAGCUGGAAUGAGUAGUGUAGCGGUGAAAUGCAUAGAUAUUACUCAGAACACCAAUUGCGAAGGCAGGUUACCAAGUUACAACUGACGCUGAUGGACGAAAGCGUGGGGAGCGAACAGGAUUAGAAACCCUAGUAGUCC
This 445-nucleotide ribosomal RNA is filed under the name uncultured bacterium. RNAcentral describes it as "bacterial SSU rRNA". It matches the Rfam family "Bacterial small subunit ribosomal RNA", at positions 354 to 796 of the family's 1533-position model. The record is from RNAcentral.